AAUAGAUACCCUGGUAGUCCAUGCCGUAAACGUUGGGCACUAGGUGUGGGGGACAUUCCACGUUUUCCGCGCCGUAGCUAACGCAUUAAGUGCCCCGCCUGGGGAGUACGGCCGCAAGGCUAAAACUCAAAGGAAUUGACGGGGGCUCGCACAAGCGGCGGAGCAUGCGGAUUAAUUCGAUGCAACGCGAAGAACCUUACCAAGGCUUGACAUGGACCGGACCGCCGCAGAAAUGUGGUUUCCCCUUUGGGGCCGGUUUACAGGUGGUGCAUGGUUGUCGUCAGCUCGUGUCGUGAGAUGUUGGGUUAAGUCCCGCAACGAGCGCAACCCUCGUUCUAUGUUGCCAGCGGUUCGGCCGGGGACUCAUAGGAGACUGCCGGGGUCAACUCGGAGGAAGGUGGGGAUGACGUCAAGUCCUCAUGGCCUUUAUGUCCAGGGCUACACACGUGCUACAAUGGCCGGUACAAAGCGCAGCGAAGUCGCGAGACGGAGCCAAUCGCAAAAAGCCGGUCUCAGUUCGGAUUGCAGGCUGCAACUCG
This 539-nucleotide ribosomal RNA is filed under the name uncultured bacterium. RNAcentral's name for it is "bacterial SSU rRNA". It matches the Rfam family "Bacterial small subunit ribosomal RNA", at positions 777 to 1314 of the family's 1533-position model. The record is from RNAcentral.